Long non-coding RNA from Gadus macrocephalus (Pacific cod), 473 nucleotides. RefSeq lists it as uncharacterized. Lineage: Eukaryota; Metazoa; Chordata; Actinopteri; Gadiformes; Gadidae. The record is from RefSeq and is a predicted model, not a curated record. The transcript is spliced from 2 exons.
UCUCCAAAGUAAGAAAAUAUAAAGAAAUAAGUAGGAGGCGUGUGUUAUGGAAUGUCUUCAGUGAUGCUUCAUGGAGAUGCCAGGAGCUAGCUACAGCAGCGCUAAGGUAAGCUAUGCUGGUGUGUGUGCGUGUGUGCGUGUGUGUGCCUUGAGGAGUAUAGACUUGAUUGGUCGACUCCAACCACACUUGGCGACCCAGUGUAAGGCUGGAAGCCCUGCCCACCACACCAGUCGGUCCGUGAGAUUGGUGGAAUGCAUGAGAGUAUUGAUCCUAGCCAGUCAGAGCGAGCCUUACAUAUAUAAAUAAAACUAGCUCAUUAACUCUAUCUUAUACACACACAAUGACCUGGUACAUUCAACACUUUGACCUUUUACCUCUCAGGGCAAGGUCUUCAUCAUCAUCUUCACCCCAGGCCUUCAACUUAGGAGCAGAGUUCAGUUCAGAGAGUUUGUGUAUAAGCCGGAAUAUUGGA